GAUAGCCCAACUGUUAGGGCACGCCACCCUGGAUAUGGUGAGAUGCGGGUUCGAGUCCCGUCUGACG
This is a non-coding RNA of Parelaphostrongylus tenuis, 67 nucleotides long. NCBI's taxonomy places the organism in Eukaryota, Metazoa, Nematoda, Chromadorea, Rhabditida, Metastrongylidae. The record is from the annotation of a GenBank genome assembly.